Molecule: ribosomal RNA, 496 nt
Filed under: uncultured bacterium
Lineage: Bacteria
Description: partial 16S ribosomal RNA
Rfam family: Bacterial small subunit ribosomal RNA
Source: RNAcentral
GAUGAACGCUGGCGGCGUGCCUAAUACAUGCAAGUCGAGCGAACAGACGAGGAGCUUGCUCCUCUGACGUUAGCGGCGGACGGGUGAGUAACACGUGGAUAACCUACCUAUAAGACUGGGAUAACUUCGGGAAACCGGAGCUAAUACCGGAUAAUAUAUUGAACCGCAUGGUUCAAUAGUGAAAGACGGUUUUGCUGUCACUUAUAGAUGGAUCCGCGCCGCAUUAGCUAGUUGGUAAGGUAACGGCUUACCAAGGCGACGAUGCGUAGCCGACCUGAGAGGGGGAACGGCCCACCGGGACAUAGGAAACGGCCCCACCCCCGAGGGGGGGCAAGGGUGGGGAAUUUUCCGGAAGGGGGGAAAGCGUGACAGAGCAACGCGGCGGGGGUGAGGAGGGUUUUCGGUUUGAAAACCCUUUUUAUUAGGGAAGAAAAAAUGUGUAAGUAACAAUGCCCGUUUGGAGGGAACCAAUCCAGAAAGCAACGGCAAACUAGGG